Syngnathus acus (greater pipefish) is the source of this 180-nucleotide long non-coding RNA. RefSeq lists it as uncharacterized. The record is from RefSeq and is a predicted model, not a curated record. NCBI's taxonomy places the organism in Eukaryota, Metazoa, Chordata, Actinopteri, Syngnathiformes, Syngnathidae. The transcript is spliced from 2 exons.
AGAAAUAGCCAAACCUGACAAAACAUGUCGGAAUAAUCUUCAAGCAUUAAUACAUUCAUUAAUCAGUAUCGCUAGUGAGUAUAAUGUAUCAUGUUAUUUGAUAAAGAUUCAUUCUGAAGUGCUCCAUAAACCUUUUGUGUUUUGUGAGUUUUAACAAGGAUGUCACAUGAGAUGAAAAAA